This 253-nucleotide ribosomal RNA is filed under the name uncultured bacterium. Its description in RNAcentral is "partial 16S ribosomal RNA". It matches the Rfam family "Bacterial small subunit ribosomal RNA", at positions 524 to 776 of the family's 1533-position model. The record is from RNAcentral.
UACGUAGGGUGCGAGCGUUGUCCGGAAUUAUUGGGCGUAAAGAGCUCGUAGGCGGCUUGUCGCGUCGGAUGUGAAAGCCCGGGGCUUAACUCCGGGUCUGCAUUCGAUACGGGCAGGCUAGAGUUCGGUAGGGGAGAUCGGAAUUCCUGGUGUAGCGGUGAAAUGCGCAGAUAUCAGGAGGAACACCGGUGGCGAAGGCGGAUCUCUGGGCCGAUACUGACGCUGAGGAGCGAAAGCGUGGGGAGCGAACCGG